GUGGGGAAUAUUGGACAAUGGGGGGAACCCUGAUCCAGCCAUGCCGCGUGUGUGAAGAAGGCCUUUUGGUUGUAAAGCACUUUAAGCGAGGAGGAGGCUCUCUUGGUUAAUACCUGAGAAGAGUGGACGUUACUCGCAGAAUAAGCACCGGCUAACUCUGUGCCAGCAGCCGCGGUAAUACAGAGGGUGCGAGCGUUAAUCGGAUUUACUGGGCGUAAAGCGCGCGUAGGUGGCUAAUUAAGUCAAAUGUGAAAUCCCCGAGCUUAACUUGGGAAUUGCAUUCGAUACUGGUUGGCUAGAGUAUGGGAGAGGAUGGUAGAAUUCCAGGUGUAGCGGUGAAAUGCGUAGAGAUCUGGAGGAAUACCGAUGGCGAAGGCAGCCAUCUGGCCUAAUACUGACACUGAGGUGCGAAAGCAUGGGGAGCAAACAGGAUUAGAAACCCGUGUAGUCC
RNAcentral lists this ribosomal RNA (451 nucleotides) under uncultured bacterium. Its description in RNAcentral is "partial 16S ribosomal RNA". It matches the Rfam family "Bacterial small subunit ribosomal RNA", at positions 354 to 796 of the family's 1533-position model. The record is from RNAcentral.